GCAGCAUGGGAAGAUGGGCAGCAAAGCACCGAUGUCCUGCUAGAACGUCCUGGCAGGUUGCUUAUGGAACCACAGAGAACAGUCCCGUGACAUUCGCGCACUUCCCUGAGGACACUGUGGAGCAGAAGACAGAGGAAGCAGUGGAUCAGGACAAGUGGUAUUGGACAGGCACCAUUCUCGCCGCUAGAGGUCCAGAGGAAAGUAAGAUGAGAAGGAUCCUGCUUUUUGGAGGAAGACAGAUGAUGCCCAACAUCGAUAAAUAACACCAAGAAAAUAGGCCAGGCGCAGUGACUCACACCUGUAAUCUCAGCACUUUGGGAGGCCGAGGCGGGUGGAUCACCUGAGGUCAGAAGUUUGAGACCAGCCUGGCCAACACAGUGAAACCCCACCUCUACUAAAAAUAUAAAAAUUAGCCGGACGUGGUGGCGGCAUGUGCCUGUAGUCCCAGCUACUCGGAGGCUGAGGCAGGAGAAUCGCUGUAACCCAGGAGAUGGAGGUUGCAGUGAACCGAGAUCGCGCCACUGCACUCAAGACUGGGCGACAGAGCAGGACUCCAUCUCAAAAACAAACAAGCAAACGAACAAACAAAAAACACUAAGAAAAUGAAAUAGGGUUAUAGGAGAGAAAGUGGCUGUGGUGGGGAGGGGAGCUUCCCUUAGAUUGAGUGGACAGAGAAGAUGUCUGGAGACAUUUGAGCUGAGACCUG
This 706-nucleotide small RNA is filed under the name Pan troglodytes (chimpanzee). RNAcentral's name for it is "processed transcript". Lineage: Eukaryota; Metazoa; Chordata; Mammalia; Primates; Hominidae. The record is from RNAcentral.